This 864-nucleotide long non-coding RNA is filed under the name Gossypium barbadense (sea-island cotton). RNAcentral describes it as "long non-coding RNA (GBAR_LNC003650)". The record is from RNAcentral. Lineage: Eukaryota; Viridiplantae; Streptophyta; Magnoliopsida; Malvales; Malvaceae.
AUGGAUUAUAUUUUGGUUAAGUAAUUUGAUACCUUUAAAACGAAGAUGGUACCCUGAAUGAAGUAUUUAACGAGGUUGAAAGGAAAAUAUUCAACUCAACUCCAUGGUCCCUUGACUCCUUAUUUUUAACAUUUAAAGGAGCUUUGGUGCCUUUAAAAAACCGACCAGAAAGGUAUGUUUUUCCCCCCUCCCUUUUAAACAUUUGAAAAAGAGAAGUAAUCUCAUUACCUUUUUCUGCUAAAUGGUCUAAAGAUGUAAUUAACAAAGGCAUCCAUUGAAAGGUAACAACUUUAAAAAGUUGGUUUGAACAUGAACGUUAAAUAAAAUAACCCAAAAGGCCGGCUAGGCAUUGGACAACUCUUAUCCCUUUUUACCCAAAGACCUAAUGAAAGCAUGGCAAUGAGAGGAAUUUGACUUGACCAAUGCAAAGCAACAAGACUAUGACAAUAUGAUGCAUUCUCGACAAUUACUUCAUGUAGAGGAAUAUAUUUACCAAUGCUGGCUGGGUCUUUGGUAAAAACAAAACAACCAACAUCAAUUCUCUCCUUCUUACACUCAAAAGUUAUUUAUUUUGCUAUAUAAAUUAUUUGGAUUGCAAUGUAAUAUAUAUUUUAUUCUCAGCCCUUCUAAUUCGAAUGUGAUUGAAGCAUUUGUCAUGUGAGAAGCUCUGUCGUGAUUGUCAAAGUCGGAUUACAAGGAACUAGUUAAUGAUUUACUCUGGGAUAAGGUUUUUAGUUUAAUUUUACAUGAUUAUUCUCAAUUGAAAUCAUAAUGGGAUGCUAAUAAGGUCUUCUUAUUUCAUGCAAACUAUCACAUAUUUGAUAUUCCCCUUGCUAGUUUAUCUACAAAUAUUUCUUCUUUAAC